AGUGAACGCUGGCGGCAGGCCUAACACAUGCAAGUCGAACGGCAGCACAGGGGAGCUUGCUCCCUGGGUGGCGAGUGGCGGACGGGUGAGGAAUACAUCGGAAUCUACCCUUUCGUGGGGGAUAACGUAGGGAAACUUACGCUAAUACCGCAUACGAUCUGAGGAUGAAAGCAGGGGACCGCAAGGCCUUGCGCGAUUGGAUGAGCCGAUGUCCGAUUAGCUAGUUGGCGGGGUAAGGGCCCACCAAGGCGACGAUCGGUAGCUGGUCUGAGAGGAUGAUCAGCCACACUGGAACUGAGACACGGUCCAGACUCCUACGGGAGGCAGCAGUGGGGAAUAUUGGACAAUGGGCGCAAGCCUGAUCCAGCCAUGCCGCGUGUGUGAAGAAGGCCUUCGGGUUGUAAAGCACUUUUGUUGGGAAAGAAAUCCUGUCGGCUAAUACCCGGCUGGGAUGACGGUACCCAAAGAAUAAGCACCGGCUAACUUCGUGCCAGCAGCCGCCGUAA
RNAcentral lists this ribosomal RNA (506 nucleotides) under uncultured bacterium. RNAcentral describes it as "partial 16S ribosomal RNA". It matches the Rfam family "Bacterial small subunit ribosomal RNA", at positions 29 to 523 of the family's 1533-position model. The record is from RNAcentral.